UUCCCAAUGAUGUAUCUUCCAAAUAGAUUUCGCAGAAAACCGUCUAUAUUCAUGUUUGAUUGACCUUUAACCACUAAUUACGAAUCUUCCAAGAAUAUUUCAAGAGUCCAAGGUUCGGUCUAUUAUUUUCCUGUUCUGUAAUUAGAUCACAUGUUUUAUAGUUCAUGGAGAUAUGACUA
This 179-nucleotide ribosomal RNA is filed under the name Plasmodium berghei. Its description in RNAcentral is "LS1". The record is from RNAcentral. Lineage: Eukaryota; Apicomplexa; Aconoidasida; Haemosporida; Plasmodiidae.